AUUGAACGCUGGCGGCAUGCCUAACACAUGCAAGUCGAACGAGUGGCGGACGGGUGAGUAAUGUCUGGGAAACUGCCCGAUGGAGGGGGAUAACUACUGGAAACGGUAGCUAAUACCGCAUACCAUCGGAUGUGCCCUGAUGGGAUUAGCUAGUAGGUGGGGUAACGGCUCACCUAGGCGACCAUCCCUAGCUGGUCUGUGAGGAUGACCAGUCACACUGGAACUGAGACACGGCCCAGACUCCGACGGGAGGCAGCAGUGGGGAAUAUUGCACAAUGGGCGCAAGCCGGAUGGAGCCAUGCCGCGUGUAUGAAGAAGGCCUUCGGGUUGUAAAGUACUUUCAGCGAGGAGGCGUUACUCGCAGAAAAAGCACCGGCUAACGCCGUGCCAGCAGCCGCGGUAAUUC
This 406-nucleotide ribosomal RNA is filed under the name uncultured bacterium. Its description in RNAcentral is "partial 16S ribosomal RNA". It matches the Rfam family "Bacterial small subunit ribosomal RNA", at positions 30 to 526 of the family's 1533-position model. The record is from RNAcentral.